UUGGGCGUGACGCUUAUUGCGUGAUACUCUGCAAAGGUAUUGUAGGUAUUUAUACCCUCGCCUUUA
RNAcentral lists this transfer RNA (66 nucleotides) under Echinostoma revolutum. RNAcentral's name for it is "tRNA-Cys". Lineage: Eukaryota; Metazoa; Platyhelminthes; Trematoda; Plagiorchiida; Echinostomatidae. The record is from RNAcentral.